RNAcentral lists this ribosomal RNA (475 nucleotides) under uncultured Desulfobulbus sp. RNAcentral's name for it is "bacterial SSU rRNA". It matches the Rfam family "Bacterial small subunit ribosomal RNA", at positions 916 to 1381 of the family's 1533-position model. The record is from RNAcentral. Lineage: Bacteria; Pseudomonadati; Thermodesulfobacteriota; Desulfobulbia; Desulfobulbales; Desulfobulbaceae.
GACGGGGCCCGCACAAGCGGUGGAGUAUGUGGUUUAAUUCGAUGCAAUGCGAAGAACCUUACCUGGUCUUGACAUCCCGGAGACCCUUAGGAAACUAGGGGGUGCUUCCAUCUGGAAGAAUCUGGAGACAGGUGCUGCAUGGCUGUCGUCAGCUCGUGUCGUGAGAUGUUGGGUUAAGUCCCGCAACGAGCGCAACCCUUGCCUUUAGUUGCCAGCAGUUCGGCUGGGCACUCUAAAGGGACUGCCGGUGUUAAACCGGAGGAAGGUGGGGAUGACGUCAAGUCCUCAUGGCCUUUAUGACCAGGGCUACACACGUACUACAAUGGCCGAUACAAAGGGCAGCGACACUGCGAGGUGAAGCCAAUCCCGUAAAAUCGGUCUCAGUCCGGAUUGGAGUCUGCAACUCGACUCCAUGAAGUUGGAAUCGCUAGUAAUCGUGGAUCAGCAUGCCACGGUGAAUACGUUCCCGGGCCUU